Molecule: ribosomal RNA, 2299 nt
Filed under: human gut metagenome
Description: bacterial LSU rRNA
Rfam family: Bacterial large subunit ribosomal RNA (bases 1-1972)
Source: RNAcentral
UGUGAAGGAAAGGUGAAAAGGACCCCGGGAGGGGAGUGAAAGAGAACCUGAAACCUUGUGCCUACAAGCACAUAGAGCCCGUCAAAGGGUGAUAUGGUACUUUUUGUAGAACGGUCCGGCGAGCGAUUGUACGUUGCGAGCUUAAGGUCUUAAGGACUGGAGGCGUAGCGAGAGCGAGUCUAAACAGGGCGUUUAGUAGCGUGCAAUGGGCCCGAAACCGGGUGACCUACCCAUGAUCAGGCUGAAGUGAAAGUAAAAUUUCAUGGAGGGCCGAACCGACCUCCGUUGAAAAGGCGGCGGAUGAAUUGUGGGUAGCGGAGAAAUUCCAAUCGAACUCGGAGAUAGCUGGUUCUCCCCGAAAUAGCUUUAGGGCUAGCCUCAUGUUAGAUAUCCGGAGGUAAAGCACUGAAUGGCCUAGCGUCCGAGAGGAUAGCGAAGCCUAUCAAACUAAGAAUGCCGGAAUAUUGAUGCAUGGGAGUCAGACAGUGUGAGAUAAAUCUCAUUGUCAAAAGGGAAACAGCCCAGAUCUACAGCUAAGGUCCCAAAUUGUAUCUAAGUGGAAAACGAUGUGGAAAUACGCAGACAACCAGGAUGUUGGCUCAGAAGCAGCCACUCAUUUAAAGAGUGCGUAAUAGCUCACUGGUCGAGCGUCUCUGCGCGGAAAAUUUAACGGGGCUAAGAUACAAACCGAAGCUUAGGCUGCAUAUGAAAGUAUGCGGGGUAGGGGAGCGUUGUGUAAGCGGAGAAACAGUAGCGGAAGCGGCUGUGGAGUUUACAGAAGUGAGAAUGCCGGAAUGAGUAGCGCGAAUGAUGUGAGAAUCAUCAUGGCCGGAAACCUCAGGUUUUUGGAGGAAGGUUCGUCCGCUCCAAGUUAGGCGGGAGCUAAGGUGAGGCCGAAAGGCGUAGCCGAUGCACAGACGGUAGAGAUUCCGUCCCCACCGAAAGAUUUAAGCGCAGGGACACUUUUAGAAGGUCGGAGCCAGGUGUUGGUUCUGGUAGAGAUCGAGGGAAAUUUAGUACCGAAGUCCGGCUGGAUAAGAGGCGAGAAAAGCUGCGUGUAUAUCUAAGGUGCCCGUACCGCAAACCGACACAGGUAGGUAGGAAGAAGAUUCUAAGGCCAACGGGAGAAGGGUUGUUAAGGAACUCGGCAAGUUGACCCCGUAACUUCGGAAUAAGGGGUGCUCAUGAAAGUGAGCCGCAGAGAAUAGGCCCAGGCAACUGUUUACCAAAAACACAGGUUUGUGCUAAAUCGAAAGAUGACGUAUACGAGCUGACGCCUGCCCGGUGCUGGAAGGUUAAAAGGAGAUGUGCAAGCAUUGAAUUGAAGCCCCAGUGAACGGCGGCCGUAACUAUAACGGUCCUAAGGUAGCGAAAUUCCUUGUCAGGUAAGUUCUGACCCGCAUGAAAGGCGUAAUGAUCUGGGCACUGUCUCAACAGCCCGCCCGGCGAAAUUGUAGUACCGGUGAAGAUGCCGGUUACCCGCGACAAGACGGAAAGACCCCAUGGAGCUUUACUGUAGCCUAAUAUUGGGUUUCGGUGUUGCAUGCACAGGAUAGAUGGGACGCUGGGAAGUGAGUGCUUUGGCAUUCAUGGAGCGGCCGUUGGGAUACCAUCCUUGCGACAUUGGAAUUCUAACCUGCGCCUCUGAAUCGAGGCGGGGGACAUUGUCAGCUUUCCGGAUACAGAAAACACGCAGGCGCUUAUUAACGACUACAAAGCGCGUCUGCGUGAUUUAGAAAACAAUAUCUGGCAGCACUAAACUGCCACUGACUCUAAGGCGGGCUUCGGCCCGCCUUUUCUUUAUGCAAAAUCAUUUCUCUGCGGUUGCCUCACCCGGUUUGGUCGUGAUGAGCUUAUACACCGCCGUAUCCUUGGGUUCCAGAUUGGAGAACGGUAUCAUGCUGUUGCCCAUCUUGAUAAUGCCGUGUCCCUCGCUGGCGUUGCGCAGAAAUUCCAGCUGCGGCUUGGACAGCCCGUACAGGCGUUCCAAGGCUUCCAGACUUUUCGAUUGCCGCAGCAUAAUGACAAACUCGCUGUUGGAAAGCAGCGCAUACGCCACGGGGUUAUCCAGAUAGUCCUGAAUAUCCUGCGAGAUGCCGGUGGCGUAGGCAUUGUACUUUCGGAAUCUUUUCCAAGAGGAAUACAGGAAAUUGGAACUCAUCGGGUCCUUUAACAGCACAUGAAUCUCAUCAAAGUAGAUCCAUGUAGCCGCCGUGGCGUCCUUGCGGCGGUUGGUCAUCACCUGCAUAUUGAUGAACUCCAGCAGGGACAUCAUGGCAAUCGGGCGGAGCUGGUCGCC